UACGUAGGGGGCAAGCGUUGUCCGGAAUUACUGGGCGUAAAGGGUGCGUAGGCGGCCUAAUAAGUUAGGGGUUAAAGCCCUCGGCUCAACCGAGGUAAGCCUUUAAAACUGUUAGGCUUGAGUGCAGGAGAGGAGAGUGGAAUUCCUUGUGUAGCGGUGAAAUGCGUAGAUAUUAGGAGGAACACCAGUGGCGAAGGCGACUCUCUGGACUGCAACUGACGCUGAGGCACGAAGGCGUGGGGAGCGAACAGGAUUAGAUACCCUGGUAGUCCACGCCGUAAACGAUGAGUACUAGGUGUUGGGGUCGACAGGCUUCAGUGCCGCAGUUAACACAUUAAGUACUCCGCCUGGGGAGUACGGUCGCAAGACUGAA
Molecule: ribosomal RNA, 373 nt
Filed under: uncultured bacterium
Lineage: Bacteria
Description: bacterial SSU rRNA
Rfam family: Bacterial small subunit ribosomal RNA
Source: RNAcentral